Molecule: long non-coding RNA, 212 nt
Filed under: Musa acuminata (dwarf banana)
Lineage: Eukaryota; Viridiplantae; Streptophyta; Magnoliopsida; Zingiberales; Musaceae
Description: long non-coding RNA (MACU_LNC005808)
Source: RNAcentral
AAAAAGAAAACUUGCUACUUAAGGACACCUUGAAGAAAUUCGAGGUUGGUAGCAAGUCAUUAAACAUGAUCCUUACAAACAAGGAUCACGUUCCAAAAAGAAGUGGAAUUGGAUUCGUGAGAUGUCCUCACCAAAAUCCAACCACCUUCAUAAAAGGCUCCAUCUUACAUAUUCGACAUCAAGACAAAUGUAACUUCUAUUGUAAAUUUGGA